GAUGAACGCUAGCGGCAGGCUUAACACAUGCAAGUCGAGGGGUAACAUUUCAGCUUGCUGAAGAUGACGACCGGCGCACGGGUGCGUAACGCGUAUACAAUCUGCCUUACACUGAGGGAUAGCCUUUGGAAACGAAGAUUAAUACCUCAUAGUAUGAUGACUUGGCAUCAAGAUAUCAUUAAAGGUUACGGUGUAAGAUGAGUAUGCGUCCUAUUAGCUUGUUGGUAAGGUAACGGCUUACCAAGGCAACGAUAGGUAGGGGUCCUGAGAGGGAGAUCCCCCACACUGGUACUGAGACACGGACCAG
This 307-nucleotide ribosomal RNA is filed under the name uncultured bacterium. RNAcentral describes it as "bacterial SSU rRNA". It matches the Rfam family "Bacterial small subunit ribosomal RNA", at positions 28 to 334 of the family's 1533-position model. The record is from RNAcentral.